Molecule: ribosomal RNA, 505 nt
Filed under: uncultured bacterium
Lineage: Bacteria
Description: partial 16S ribosomal RNA
Rfam family: Bacterial small subunit ribosomal RNA
Source: RNAcentral
GACGAACGCUGGCGGCGUGCCUAAUACAUGCAAGUAGAACGCACAGUUUAUACCGUAGCUUGCUACACCAUAGACUGUGAGUUGCGAACGGGUGAGUAACGCGUAGGUAACCUGCCUGGUAGCGGGGGAUAACUAUUGGAAACGAUAGCUAAUACCGCAUAAUAUUAAUUAUUGCAUGAUAAUUAAUUGAAAGGUGCAAUUGCACCACUACCAGAUGGACCCGCGUUGUAUUAGCUAGUAGGUGAGGUAACGGCUCACCUAGGCGACGAUACAUAGCCGACCUGAGAGGGUGAUCGGCCACACUGGGACUGAGACACGGCCCAGACUCCUACGGGAGGCAGCAGUAGGGAAUCUUCGGCAAUGGACGAAAGUCUGACCGAGCAACGCCGCGUGAGUGAAGAAGGUUUUCGGAUCGUAAAGCUCUGUUGUAAGAGAAGAACGGGUGUGAGAGUGGAAAGUUCACACUGUGACGGUAUCUUACCAGAAAGGGACGGCUAACUACGUG